GAUUGAGCGGCGGGCACGGUGGACGAAAAUCUCGGGGAUACAGGACACGGCAUCUUCCAAGAUUCAUUUGAGCGCUCUGCUUCUGGCGUGGAUACAUGUCUACCCGGCCUACCACUUUCGUUUCUCAAGUCAUACAACUCUGCUUAUGUUUUUCUUUGGCAGGCUUCGCGUCUCUGCCCGAGCUCUUGAGCGAGUUUGAAGACAUUUGCCGGGAUCUAGCGCAGGCAGUCACAGAGACGAGGCAACUACGAAGCAUCGAGCUAUAGAAGACAGAGCUCUACUUCAGUCAUGCGCACUUCCAUUUGUAUGGAAAAGAGGAUAUCACGGAAGACAAUCAGAAAGCAACCACGCGUUUAUAAGAACCGGUGCGACUGCUCAAACAUGCCCUCGUCUUGUCUCGCGAGUCUGGCGUCCAAGGAAUUGGAUUUAGAAAAGAAGGUGAUGCUCUUCCGUUGAGUAUAUGCAUGCAAAUGUUAUCGUUAUAGAGGAAGGGAUAGGGUGCGGGCUUAGAGGCUAGGCUUGUGGGAUCAAACAAAACGGGCUAUCAAAAAAAUAUUGGAACUCACUCUGUUCGACAUUGGUGCUCCAACUCGAGAAGGCUUACAGUUGCAUCCAGAAGAUCAGAAACUGGAAGAUAGUCUUUUGGAAGAUGCGUGGAAGCUCAUCCGAGCUGGAAGAAAAGGAGAAGCGCAGGACCCGUGUCCAACAGGGAUUGCUCUUCGUUGCUCAGGACAUUCUCUGCAAUGUAUGUGCAAUUAAGAAGUCCAUAGCGAGAAUUAACGUCACUAUGGCGUAGACAUUCCGGGAGGUGUGGAAGCACUUUUGGGACACCUGAAGCAGUCAUUAAAUGAAGCAGCAGACUGAACUUCUGCAGAUAUCUGAAAUGAAGACUUUUUUUAUUAGACACAUUAAGAUACUGUACUUUGGUGCCUGUGCCUCAAAGUUUGUGUUGAUUUAACUGGAUAA
Selaginella moellendorffii is the source of this 966-nucleotide long non-coding RNA. RefSeq lists it as uncharacterized. The transcript is spliced from 8 exons. The record is from RefSeq and is a predicted model, not a curated record. Lineage: Eukaryota; Viridiplantae; Streptophyta; Lycopodiopsida; Selaginellales; Selaginellaceae.